This 460-nucleotide ribosomal RNA is filed under the name uncultured bacterium. RNAcentral describes it as "partial 16S ribosomal RNA". It matches the Rfam family "Bacterial small subunit ribosomal RNA", at positions 338 to 795 of the family's 1533-position model. The record is from RNAcentral.
CCUACGGGAGGCAGCAGUGAGGAAUAUUGGUCAAUGGACGAGAGUCUGAACCAGCCAAGUAGCGUGAAGGAUGACUGCCCUAUGGGUUGUAAACUUCUUUUAUAUGGGAGUAAAAUGUUCCACGUGUGGGAUUUUGUAUGUACCAUAUGAAUAAGGAUCGGCUAACUCCGUGCCAGCAGCCGCGGUAAUACGGAGGAUUCAAGCGUUAUCCGGAUUUAUUGGGUUUAAAGGGAGCGUAGGUGGAUGGUUAAGUCAGUUGUGAAAGUUUGCGGCUCAACCUUAAAAUUGCAGUUGAAACUGGCAGUCUUGAGUACAGUAGAGGUGGGCGGAAUGCGUGGUGUAGCGGUGAAAUGCUUAGAUAUCACGAAGAACUCCGAUUGCGAAGGCAGUUCACUGGACUGCAACUGACACUGAGGCUCGAAAGUGUGGGUAUCAAACAGGAUUAGAUACCCGGGUAGUC